This 119-nucleotide ribosomal RNA is filed under the name Cephalotus follicularis. The record is from RNAcentral. Lineage: Eukaryota; Viridiplantae; Streptophyta; Magnoliopsida; Oxalidales; Cephalotaceae.
UGGAGCGAUCAUACCAGCAAUAAUGCACUGGAUCCCAUCAGAACUCCACAGUUAAGCAUGCUUGGGCGAGAGUAGUACUGGGAUGGGUGACCUCCUGGGAAGUCCUCAUGUUCCACCCC